This is a long non-coding RNA of Gavialis gangeticus (Gharial), 2698 nucleotides long. RefSeq lists it as uncharacterized. The record is from RefSeq and is a predicted model, not a curated record. Lineage: Eukaryota; Metazoa; Chordata; Crocodylia; Gavialidae. The transcript has 3 exons.
UUAAAAGGCAGAUAGAGGGCAGAUUCCUUUAGUAAUUUGCUUCAGAACUUGCUGGUCAUAACAAGAGCCUGACGCAUCGGUAUCCUACGCCAGUAUAACACAGCUCAGUAGCAGAGCCCAUGUCAGCAGGGCUGUACAGAAGGAUUCCAGUGUGUCUGAAUGAAUCUAGUAAAUGCAGAAAAAAGACAUGCGUUUCCAAGGUCAUUGCUUUGCAUCCAUAAGAAGCCUACCGGUUACUCUGGUAACAGCCCAUCAUUUAAGGUCUGACCACCUCAUCAGGAGGAUGAACAGAGGGACAGCAGUGCAAUUCUACACCUGGAGCUGUCGCACAGUGCUGGCAUGAUCAAUCUCCACUGUGGCAAUGGCUACUUUUGUACUCCUUCUCCCCACCACCCACUCAGUUAUGCUGCUGAGGAUGAAGUGUGCACCACCGUGUGUUUGUCUGAGCAGGUCCUGAUUAAAAGGGGCAACCAACAGCUCUGUUCCCAUGCCCAAAAUGGCAACAGCUGACCUGCUGAUGAGAUGGUGCCAGGCUAUGUCUUUAAAAGAAGCCUCCCAGGCAAGAGAUGUGGUUUUUCUAAUCGUUUUUAAUUAGAUUGUAAUGAUUUAUUGCUCAUCUGCAAGGAUUAAUAUUGCAUUCAUUAAAAAUCAUUCAUAUACAAAAUAAACCUAUCCCUCCCAGGUCGAUGAGAACAUGCUCCUUCUGACAGAAUCGAGGUUUCCCUAGACGUGGGACCAUUUGUUCCAUUGUGUCCUUUUGUUACAUGGCUUAUACAGAGAUGAAGCCCUUAAGCUAAGAUUCCUUUUGACACUAACACUGAGACAGACAAAUGGAACAGGGGGUCUGGACUCUGGAACUGCCCAGGAUCCCACCCCCCCCGACAGUCACAAGGGCAAACAUUUAGGAACGUAUGUGGGCUCUGCUUGGUUGAGUGGGAGACCAAGUCUGCUCUGAGAUCCAGGGCUGCGAUUACAAGAGCUUCCUAUGCACGUACAAAGCGAGGAGGGAAAGCGCAAGCCAGAGUCCCGGUGCAUGGCAAACCCUCUGGAUUGCAUCAACAAUUAAGAGAGCUUCCCCAUGCUCCCAGCCAUAUCUUCUUCACUGGGCGAGAGGAAAGGAGAGCAAGACCCCCAGCCCCCCGCCCAUAAGAGAUCACAGACUUGUUGGUUCAGUGGAAAUCCAGGCUGCAGAGGAAGGGGUACAUGGGCAGCCUACAGCAAUCCUUACACUCAAGGCAUGGUCCUUUGGAAGCCAGUCUGGCAGUCAGAGGCAGCCAAAGGCAGCAAUGAGUCAGCAAAGCAGCUACGUGCAUCUCAGAGAAGGGGCAGAAAAGAUGACCAAGGGGCUGUGCUGGACUGUAAAGAAGAGAGUGGGGAAAUACGAGACUAGCCACUGGAGGCACUGCAUGGUUUUGGGAAGGUGAGCUACCCCUUUUAAUCUUAACUUAGCCUCUGUUCUGAUCAACUAAGAGCUUUUAUCUCCUAGACAGAGCAAGCAGCCAGCACCACCCACAAACAAGCAGAAGUAGGUUUCUUAAAGAGAGCACUAGGAAUGCAUCCUCUGUAUGUGGGCAAGAUUGGCCAGAAAGUGACCUCUGAUAGCAAGGGAGCACAAGAGGCGAUGGCUGCGGUCCACUGUAGCACCUUGAUUGUCUUUGUACCAGCAGAUUCUAGCAGAAUUGGAAGUACCUGGACCAAUGCCACAUGCUCAGCAGAAAUCCCUUUGUGAGCUGGGUCUCUAGAGCUCUUUCAUUUGUACAUUCACUGAGCACUGAAUUGAAAUCAAGGCUGUACAUUUUGUGCUGAAAUUUUUGUCACAUUAAGUUUGGGGCCAAGGGCUGAAAAACCACAGAGGCAUUUUGGCCCUUCUGCAUGGAGCUGGAAUAUGUUGAACCAAGUAAAAUAGGACAACCUGCCACCUAAGGGGCUAGGGAGGGAAGAGCUGAUUAAAGCAGCUGAAAGGCUUUAGAAAACAGCAGUGCAGUUGGCCAAGGAUUCUGCCUCCAACGUUCAGUUGCUAUGAACAGAGCCUGAAGAUGGAGCUAAGUGCUUUGCAGAACGGUCCAUCGGCCACAGGAUUUAGACUUCAGCAUGAGAGCUACGCCGCUAGAAAAGCUGACAGAAAAAGGUGCUACAUCAUCAAAUGUCUCCCAUGUUAAGCAGGGGACAGGAGCGGGAAGGGCCAUCUCUGUGUCUAAACUCACUUCUGCUUAGAAGCCCAGGGAGUUCACAGGAGGCUCCAACGCACACUGGAGCCCUCCAGCAAGAACUGCCCUUAGCUGGACGGGCGGUAGCAUGUUCUUAGCUGCCCCCGACAGAUCUACAGUGUUUCCGCUCAGAAACACCUCCAUUAAAACAUUUUAGGCUCAAAAAUAAAAGGAAAAAAUUAUUUUUUAAACUCAAAUAAGGUGCAGUUUGGCUAAAAAAAAAUACCUAGGAAAAUGAGGAUUAUGCUAGUUACCAAUCCCCAUUCAAAUUCAGAUUAGCACCCUGAAACAGAAUAGAUAACACCCACUGAGGCUUACCCUUACCAGGCUCCAAACCACCUCCACAAAGGAAAUCUGGUCUGGGGUUAUUCACCAAUUCCCUAGCUGGCCAUUAGGUGCCGCUCUGCUCCAAUGCACUGAACUAGCAGCUAAAAACUGGGCUCGUUAAGGCAAUUUAGAAGUUGCAGAUAAUCCUGCACAGAAAAAAAAAA